Non-coding RNA from Aplosporella prunicola CBS 121167, 71 nucleotides. The record is from the annotation of a RefSeq genome assembly. NCBI's taxonomy places the organism in Eukaryota, Fungi, Ascomycota, Dothideomycetes, Botryosphaeriales, Aplosporellaceae.
GGUUGCCUGGUGAAAUGGUAUCACGAGACGUUGUGGCCGUCUUAUUCUGGGUUCGAUUCCCAGGGCAGCCA